CACCAGGCGCGAAAACUUUACAAUGCGGGCAACCGUGAUAAGGGGACAUCGAGUGCCAGCAUACAAUGUUGGCUGUCCAGAUGCGUAAAAUACACCGCUCAGCAAGGGCCGGGCAAGACCGGUGCCAGCCGCCGCGGUAACACCGGCGGCCCGAGUGGUAAUCGUGAUUAUUGGGUCUAAAGGGUCCGUAGCCGGCUGGGUCAGUCUUCCGGGAAAUCCGACGGCUCAACCGUUGGGCUUUCGGGGGAUACUGCCAGGCUUGGAACCGGGAGAGGUGAGAGGUACUUCAGGGGUAGGAGUGAAAUCUUGUAAUCCCUGAGAGACCACCUGUGGCGAAGGCGUCUCACCAGAACGGAUUCGACGGCGAGGGACGAAAGCUGGGGGCACGAACCGGAUUAGAUACCCGGGUAGUCCCAGCCGUAAACGAUGCUCGCUAGGUGUCAGGCACGGUGCGACCGUGUUUGGUGCCGCAGGGAAGCCGUGAAGCGAGCCACCUGGGAAGUACGGCCGCAAGGCUGAAACUUAAAGGAAUUGGCGGGGGAGCACAAGGG
This 551-nucleotide ribosomal RNA is filed under the name uncultured archaeon. RNAcentral describes it as "bacterial SSU rRNA". It matches the Rfam family "Archaeal small subunit ribosomal RNA", at positions 333 to 887 of the family's 1478-position model. The record is from RNAcentral.